GAGAGAGAUGAAGAACUCAGAGAAAAAGAUAACUUUUGAGCAGUACCUCCAAUUUUAUCAAUUUUCGUGGCUGUCCAAUAUCUCUAGAUUCAGCCUCAAUCAGAUCAUAGAGAUGCACGGCUUCAUCAAGCUCCACUUGGAACGCAAGCAUCGUCUUCGAGAAUGCUUGGAAGCGAUCGAUCUCAUGGAACCGGCUCGAUACGACUCUCGAGGAUU
Asparagus officinalis (garden asparagus) is the source of this 216-nucleotide long non-coding RNA. RefSeq lists it as uncharacterized. The record is from RefSeq and is a predicted model, not a curated record. Lineage: Eukaryota; Viridiplantae; Streptophyta; Magnoliopsida; Asparagales; Asparagaceae. The transcript has 3 exons.